This 65-nucleotide transfer RNA is filed under the name Entomophthora muscae. RNAcentral's name for it is "tRNA-Glu". The stretch from base 5 to 61 matches the Rfam family "tRNA", at positions 8 to 63 of the family's 71-position model. From Rfam's summary of the family: Transfer RNA (tRNA) molecules are approximately 80 nucleotides in length. The record is from RNAcentral. Lineage: Eukaryota; Fungi; Entomophthoromycota; Entomophthoromycetes; Entomophthorales; Entomophthoraceae.
CUUGUAGUCCAGUGGUUAGGAUACUCCGCUUUCACUGGAGCGGCCAGGGUUCCAUUCCCUGAAGG